CAUGCAGUAAGUAUUACAAGAUGUUUCACCAUGCACGUUAAUCCUCUCUCGCUAGCCACGAGUCAGUGACCGGAACCAGUUAGGAAUCGAUAUAAAAUAAAAAUAAAAAACUUAUUUGAAUUCAAUAAUCUUAUCACAAUGAUGGAGUUUUUGAUUUAUUAUUUAUUAGGAACUUUCGUACUUAUAUUAUUUUACGAAGUCGUAAUAUAUUGCAAGAAAAACGGUAUUGGAGCGAAGAUUAAUAACUUUGCGAAACUAAAUCAAAGGAAGGAAUUAAUGAUGACAUUUAUGGAAAAUGGCGGGAAGGAAGUAGAAAGUACAAAUGUUUUUAUCGUUUAAGUAUAUUUUUUUUUAAAGGAAGCAUAGAUAUGCUUUUGUCUUUUUUGUUUUGUUUAAUUGUUGUAAAUAAAGAUGUAACAUGAAUUUUGGCAUU
Molecule: long non-coding RNA, 433 nt
Organism: Zerene cesonia (dogface butterfly)
Lineage: Eukaryota; Metazoa; Arthropoda; Insecta; Lepidoptera; Pieridae
Exons: 2
Source: RefSeq, a predicted model, not a curated record